CACGCCGAGUAUUUCUUACCUUUGUCACUCAUUUUCCGGACGAGGAAUCUUGAGUCUAAUUUUGACUUCGAAUCUUAAUCUGGAGCGUCGAAUCAUACCUUGCUCAAGCUCACGUCGGAAGCCGGAUUAUUAGAAAAUAUUGUUGAUUGUACCGAGAUCCAGGCACACCGUGAAGCAUGUCCAAGAAUGCAAUUGGAGAUUAAUCCGAAGAGCGGACAUAAGUGGGGGAAGAAGAGCAAGCAGCAACAAGUAGCAGAGCACCCCAGAGUAGAAAAGUUAAAGUCCAACAUCAUCAAGUUCGGAUUAAUUAGUAUUUAAACGACGAGAUGAUUCAUUGAUGCACUCAAAUUUUUUU
This is a long non-coding RNA of Belonocnema kinseyi, 355 nucleotides long. RefSeq lists it as uncharacterized. The record is from RefSeq and is a predicted model, not a curated record. The transcript has 2 exons. Lineage: Eukaryota; Metazoa; Arthropoda; Insecta; Hymenoptera; Cynipidae.